This 1401-nucleotide ribosomal RNA is filed under the name Staphylococcus sp. SKW23. RNAcentral describes it as "partial 16S ribosomal RNA". It matches the Rfam family "Bacterial small subunit ribosomal RNA". The record is from RNAcentral. Lineage: Bacteria; Bacillati; Bacillota; Bacilli; Caryophanales; Staphylococcaceae.
AUCCACGGGGUAAUUCCAUGCGAGGUCGAGCGGCGGCUGUACCCUUCGGGGUGCCGGCGAGCGGCGACGGGUGAGUAAUGCACUGGGAAUCUGCCCGGUAUUUUGGGGAUAACCCGGGGAAACCCGGGCUAAUACGCAUCCUCCCACGGAGAAAGCAGGGGAUCUUCGGACCUUGCGCUAUCGGAUGAGCCCAUGUCGGAUUACGCUUGCUGGUGAGGUAACGGCUCACCAGGGCUGCGAUCGUAGCUGGUUUGAGAGAAUGAUCAGCCACACCGGGACUGAAACACGGCCCGGACUCCUACGGGAGGCAGCAGUGGGGAAUAUUGGACAAUGGGCCGAAAGCCUUGAUCCAGCCCAUGCCGCCGUGUGUGAAGAAGGCCCUCGGUUUGUAAAAGCACUUUCAGCGGGGGAAGAAGGCGUGGCGGGUUAAUACCCGCACGAAGGACAUCACCCGCAGAAGAACACCGGCUUAACUCCGUGCCAGCAGCCGCGGUUAAUACGGAGGGUGCAAGCGUUAAUCGGAAUUACUGGCCGUAAAGGGCGCGUAGGCCGGCCUGUACGCCGGGUGUUAAAGCCCCCGGGCUUAACCCGGGGACGGCAUCCGGAACGGGCAGGCUCGAGUUGCCAGAAAAGAAAGGUAAAAAUUCCCCGGGUGUACCGGUUAAAUGCCGUAGAGAUCGGGAGGAAUCCCCGAAAAUCAAAAGGGGUUGGUUUCCAAGGGGUUUCGCCCCAUUUUUGCUGCAGCUUACGCAGUUAAGCACAUCCGCCGUGGGGAGUACGACCCGCAAGGGGUUGAAACUCAAAUUUAAUUGACGGGGACCCGCACAAGCGGUGGAGCAUGUGGUUUAAUUCGAAGCAACGCGAAGAACCUUACCAAAUCUUGACAUCCUUUGACAACUCUAGAGAUUGAGCCUUCCCCUUCGGGGGACAAAGUGACAGGGUGGUGCAUGGUUGUCGUCAGCUCGUGACGUGAGAUGUUGGGUUAAGUCCUGAACGAGCGCAACCCUUAAGCUUAGUUGCCAAGCAUUAAGUUGGGCACUUCUUACUUGACUGCCGGUGACAAAACCGGAAGAAGGUGGGGAUUACGUCCAAUCAUCAUGCCCUUAUGAUUUGGGCUACCCACCGUGCUCAAUGGACAAUACAAAAGGGUAGCUUAACCGCGGGGGCGUGCCAAUCCAUUAAGUUGUUCUCAGUUCGGAAUUGUGGCUGGACUCCCCUCCUGAAGCUGGAAUCCCCUAGGAAAUCGAGAAUAGCAUGGUACCGGGGAAAACUUUCCCGGGUUUUGGACCCCCCCGCCCGCCCCCCCCCGGGAGGUUUUAACCCCCAAAGCCCGGGGGAAUAACCUUUUAUUGGCCCCUUCCCCCCCAAAGGGGGACAAAUUAAUGGGGGGGAAAACCCUAA